AGAGUUUGAUCCUGGCUCAGAACGAACGCUGGCGGCAGGCCUAACACAUGCAAGUCGAGCGCCCGCAAGGGAGCGGCAGACGGGUGAGUAACGCGUGGGAACGUGCCCUUUGGUUCGGAGUAUUCCCGGGAAACUGGGAGCAAAACCGGAUAAGCCCUUCGGGGGAAAGUUUACGCCAAAGGAUCGGCCCGCGUUAGAUUAGGUAGUUGGUGGGGUAACGGCCUACCAAGCCUACGAUCUAUAGCUGAUCUGAGAGGAUGAUCAGCCACACUGGGACUGAGACACGGCCCAGACUCCUACGGGAGGCAGCAGUGGGGAAUCUUGGACAAUGGGCGCAAGCCUGAUCCAGCCAUGCCGCGUGGAUGACUGAAGGCCCUAGGGUUGUAAAGUCCUUUCGACGGGGACGAUAAUGACGGUACCCGUAGAAGAAGCCCCGGCUAACUUCGUGCCAGCAGCCGCGGUAAUACGAAGGGGGCUAGCGUUGUUCGGAUUUACUGGGCGUAAAGGGCGCGUAGGCGGAUUUUUAAGUCAGGGGUGAAAUCCCGGAGCUCAACUCCGGAACUGCCUUCGAUACUGGAAGUCUGGAGCACGGUAGAGGUGAGUGGAAUUCCGAGUGUAGCGGUGAAAUGCGUAGA
RNAcentral lists this ribosomal RNA (635 nucleotides) under uncultured bacterium. RNAcentral's name for it is "bacterial SSU rRNA". It matches the Rfam family "Bacterial small subunit ribosomal RNA", at positions 8 to 694 of the family's 1533-position model. The record is from RNAcentral.